Molecule: ribosomal RNA, 440 nt
Filed under: uncultured bacterium
Lineage: Bacteria
Description: partial 16S ribosomal RNA
Rfam family: Bacterial small subunit ribosomal RNA
Source: RNAcentral
CCUACGGGAGGCAGCAGUGGGGGAUAUUGCACAAUGGGGGGAACCCUGAUGCAGCGACGCCGCGUGGGUGAAGAAGCGCCUCGGCGCGUAAAGCCCUGUCAGCAGGGAAGAAAAUGACGGUACCUGAAGAAGAAGCCCCGGCUAACUACUUGCCAGCAGCCGCGGUAAUCCGUAGGGUGCAAGCGUUAUCCGGAUGUACUGGGUGUAAAGGGGGCGCAGGCGGCGAUACAUGCCAGGAGUGAAGGCCCGGGGCCAAACCCCGGGACUGCUGUUGGAACUGCGUGGCUGGAGUGCAGGAGGGGCAGGCGGAAUGCGUGGUGUAGCGGUGAAAUGCGUAGAUAUCAGGAGGAACACCGGUGGCGAAGGCGGCCUGCUGGACUGCAACUGACGUUGAGGCACGAAAGCGUGGGGAGCAAACAGGAUUAGAUACCCGGGUAGUC